Glycine soja is the source of this 335-nucleotide long non-coding RNA. RefSeq lists it as uncharacterized. The transcript has 3 exons. Lineage: Eukaryota; Viridiplantae; Streptophyta; Magnoliopsida; Fabales; Fabaceae. The record is from RefSeq and is a predicted model, not a curated record.
CUCAAAGUUGCAAAUCUAUCAUACAAGAUGCCAGAGAUUCUCAUAGUAGAGAUUGUGCUCUUCAACGAAGGAGAAAAGAUUUGAGAUGUCGGGAGGUGAUGCAUCGAUGCAACCAAUGAGGUGCGGUGGGUUGGAGGUGGUGGUUGUUUGAUUCAAGGUGUGGUGGUGAUGGUGUUUAAGGUAAGUACGUGGAAUAUUGGCUUUCUCCAUGGUGGAAACUUCUCAUGCACCUUAUUACAAUAUUAUUUACCUAGUCGCUUUGAAAACUUUAGAGACUAAAACGUUUCUUUUUUCAUUGUACUAAAUGAUAGAUGACAGAUUUAAUUUCGCGGCAA